Tympanuchus pallidicinctus (lesser prairie-chicken) is the source of this 1184-nucleotide long non-coding RNA. RefSeq lists it as uncharacterized. NCBI's taxonomy places the organism in Eukaryota, Metazoa, Chordata, Aves, Galliformes, Phasianidae. The record is from RefSeq and is a predicted model, not a curated record. The transcript has 3 exons.
UCCUGCAGUACCACUGGAUAUUAAAGGACUUUUUCACAUGUGGGAUAAAUCAUAAGAACCUGUGGCAGAAAGUUGAAGCAAGGUACAUUCAAAGAAGUUGAAGUCAUUUUUUUCCUAUGUUUUACUUUUAUUUUCAAUGAUGCAUUGAAAAUAAUAAUUAAUGACCAGAACAAAACUACCAAGGAAAAUAAUGAGGGCAUAAGGGUAAGCACUGGCUGAACACAUCUGUUGUCCCUGGCACGCAAAAGGAACUUUUGUUGUAGUUUUUUGUUUGUUUGUUUGUUUAAGGAAAAAGAUGUGGCUUAAUUAAGCAGUAUUUAUAUUAAUUUGACUCAGCUGGGAUCUGGAAGCAACAAAUCAUAUAAUGCAGCCCAGUGAGCCUUUCUUCAGGUGUUCCUGCUUGUUGCAACCCUUUCAUCUGAGCUCUAAGACAGUGGUAGGGUCAGAUUGCUUCUUUAUCUGAGCCAGGAAGGAGCUUGAGGAAAGGGAUGUCUUCUCCAAGUUGUAGGCCUCCCUGAAUCCUGUUUAAUGAGAAAUGGAAUUAAUUCCAUGAAGCAUAGGAUCCCCUUCAUAGGGAGUACUAGCGACUAGUUUGCCUGGCUGGCUCCUGCCUGCUGUUGGUUACCAAAGAGAUAACGUUUCUGUUUUUAGCAGAAGCUGAAGCAUUCUCAAUUCCUGACUCAGAGCUUACUACUAGGCUAUAGUUAUCAGAACAUUAUCUCUUUUUUCUUUUUGGUCUGCUCAGAACAUUUUGAACCAACAUUACCUCAGUGCAUUCUGAAUGACUGCAUUAUCUGAUCUUCAGGACUGUGAGCAGAAAUGAAAUGGCAGCUUCCAUGAAGAAUUGCACCAUAGUACAACUGUCCCUAUGGUAAUAAGUCAAAAUGGAUGUAAAUGCAAAUCUUCAGAAGAAAAACCAAGAGUGUUUAAUUCUCUUUGAUUCCAGUGACACCCAGAUGCCUUAAUGCUUUUGAAAGUCUGUGUUUGAUUUUCCUCAUUAAGAAGAAUAGAUCAAGAAUAUUUUCUCCUUUUCUGAAUAACAGGAAGCAUGAAAAAUUAAUCCCUGAUAGAUACAAGUUGGCUUUCUGCUUUAUAGACAGAAAGGGUGAUUAAAUCUUUCUGAUAUUUUGUCUGUUUGCUUGUAAAGUAAAAAUAAUAAAAAAUGGCAUUCAUUCAGAUAAUAA